UACUAUGCCCAGCCUUAACAAAACAAUCAAAUAACCAACUGUUCGCCAAAUAACUACGAGUAUAAACUUAAAAUUUAAAAGACUUGACGGUGCUUCACAACAGCCUAGAGGAGCCUGUCUAAUAACCGAUACUCCACGAUUAACCCCACCUGCCCUAGCCUAUCAGUCUAUAUACCGCCGUCGCCAGCUUACCUUGUGAAAGAAAUAAAGUAAACCUAAUAAGCCACCCCUAAUACGACAGGUCGAGGUGUAACAAAUGGACAGGUACAAGAUGGGCUACACUUUCUAAAACAGAAAAUACGAACAAACUACGAAACUAGAAACUGAAGGCGGAUUUAGCAGUAUGCUAAGAACAAAACACUUAGCUGAAACCAAUGCAAUGAAGCGCGUACACACCGCCCGUCAUCCCUGCCACAAAUAACAAAAAAUUAAUAAACACACUACCACAAUAAAACAGGGCAAGUCGU
RNAcentral lists this ribosomal RNA (467 nucleotides) under Dipsas vermiculata. RNAcentral describes it as "partial small subunit ribosomal RNA". The record is from RNAcentral. Lineage: Eukaryota; Metazoa; Chordata; Lepidosauria; Squamata; Dipsadidae.